UGGGGAAUAUUGGACAAUGGGCGAAAGCCUGAUCCAGCCAUGCCGCGUGUGUGAAGAAGGUCUUCGGAUUGUAAAGCACUUUAAGUUGGGAGGAAGGGUUGUAGAUUAAUACUCUGCAAUUUUGACGUUACCGACACAAUAAGCACCGGCUAACUCUGUGCCAGCAGCCGCGUUAAUACAGAGGGUGCAAGCGUUAAUCGGAAUUAUUGGGCGUAAAGCGCGCGUAGGUGGUUUGUUAAGUUGGAUGUGAAAGCCCCGGGCUCAACCUGGGAACUGCAUUCAAAACUGACAAGCUAGAGUAUGGUAGAGGGUGGUGGAAUUUCCUGUGUAGCGGUGAAAUUCGUAGAUAUAGGAAGGAACACCAGUGGCGAAGGCGACCACCUGGACUGAUACUGACACUGAGGUGCGAAAGCGUGGGGGGCAAACA
Molecule: ribosomal RNA, 427 nt
Filed under: uncultured prokaryote
Description: bacterial SSU rRNA
Rfam family: Bacterial small subunit ribosomal RNA
Source: RNAcentral